CUUGCCCUACGGGGGGCAGCAGUGGGGAAUAUUGCACAAUGGGGGAAACCCUGAUGCAGCGACGCCGCGUGAGCGAUGAAGUAUUUCGGUAUGUAAAGCUCUAUCAGCAGGGAAGAAAAUGACGGUACCUGACUAAGAAGCCCUGGCUAACUACGUGCCAGCAGCCGCGGUAAUACGUAGGGGGCAAGCGUUAUCCGGAUUUACUGGGUGUAAAGGGAGCGUAGACGGCAUGGCAA
This 236-nucleotide ribosomal RNA is filed under the name uncultured bacterium. RNAcentral describes it as "partial 16S ribosomal RNA". It matches the Rfam family "Bacterial small subunit ribosomal RNA", at positions 333 to 586 of the family's 1533-position model. The record is from RNAcentral.